Molecule: long non-coding RNA, 562 nt
Organism: Alligator mississippiensis (American alligator)
Lineage: Eukaryota; Metazoa; Chordata; Crocodylia; Alligatoridae
Exons: 3
Source: RefSeq, a predicted model, not a curated record
AUUUUCCCCUGUCUACUCCUCCACCUGUUGCAGCCUAAGACAGAAUCACAGCUGCCUUUAUUCCACUGGGGACAAACUUUCUUUGCAGGCUCAAUCUGCUGAAGAAAGCAGUCUUGAAGACUUCCUACUUGGGAAAGGGAGCCCCUCACAACCAGCUUGAGCUCGUCCAAAAUGUCCUGGAACAACAAAAGAAAUGAAGAGUAUCUUAUCUAUGCCACAACAAAGAAUCAAAUGUGCAAUCUCAAAAUGGGGCCGCUCAGCCUCAAGAGGACUGCAUGGCGCUUCCCGUCAGCCAGCUGGAUAUUGCUGAAGAUCACAGAGUUUAACCUUCCAUCACUCCUCAAAUAACGGAGGGCAGCUAGUACAAAAUACAGAGAAUGACUACCCGAUAGUAACAAAAGGCAAAGCAUAAUCGGAGCUAUUGCUUGAUCUCCUGAGUGGCUGCUGAAUGGAAGAUCAGUAUGGAUACUUGUCACUGCUCUGGUAUGUUUCAUUAUGUCUACUUGGGCAAAUGGUUGUAUAUGCAAAUAUGUAGAGAAAAUAAAUUUGACAUAGAAUCACA